AGCCCAGGUUGGCUGCCUACAAUCAGAGUCCACAUAUGUUCGGGGGAGGGACCCCAGAAGGCGGCUGACAGUAUUCCUUUAGCCAGAAAUCCCUUCAGGGAAGAGAAAGGUGCUCCCCUUUGCCUGCUUUUAUACUACAGACUGUUUCCAACUCCAGCUAGAAGUGACUAUUGCCGAUUAUGCUAAUCAGUGGCGACAAGCUCCCUUUGACUGCUCACUUCUCCAGUGAGGCUUCAAGCUUCUAGGCAUCAAGAUUAUAUUUUCCAGAAAAUAUUUCAAGCAGAAUAUACUUAUUUUCCAGUUUUGAAAACAACUAGAUUGCCCAUCUCCAUUUCUCUCUAUCAUCUACUGUAUUAUUCUAUGGACAACUGCCACCCUAAUAAGGUCAAGAAGGGAAGCCAGAAGUCAAGGCCACAGAAGACACAGGAAACAUCAUUUCCAAAGUGGGAGACAAAGCUGUUAACAGGAAAUUAUUUGUAAAGUCAAGAGCCAAGCAAAACAGAAAAAGGACAAGAAAUCUAUCACCUGUGGGUAUGAAUGGUUCUAGGGAAGUCUGUUGACAAUUGGAGGGUCUCAAAGGCGCUUUAUGGUACUUAUUUUAUGACCCUGAGUCUGGAGUCUGAUGAAUUAAAGAGGAAAUUCUGCUCUGGGCAACAUUUAAGAGAUAGUAUCUCCAGGCAGUAACUUUCGUAUUAACUCUCAUAAGAUUGAUGCCAUUCUGUCAUCUAAAGUGUGGACAAAAGUAGCAUUAAAGCAAAAUGAAAGGAUAUACUAA
Molecule: long non-coding RNA, 775 nt
Filed under: Homo sapiens (human)
Lineage: Eukaryota; Metazoa; Chordata; Mammalia; Primates; Hominidae
Description: MIR4307 host gene
Source: RNAcentral